UACGGGGGGGGCAAGCGUUGUUCGGAAUUACUGGGCGUAAAGGGCUCGUAGGUGGCCAACUAAGUCAGACGUGAAAUCCCUCGGCUUAACCGGGGAACUGCGUCUGAUACUGGAUGGCUUGAGUUUGGUAGAGGGACGCGGAAUUCCAGGUGUAGCGGUGAAAUGCGUAGAUAUCUGGAGGAACACCGGUGGCGAAGGCGGCGUCCUGGACCACCACUGACACUGAUGAGCGAAAGCCAGGGGAGCAAACGGG
This 253-nucleotide ribosomal RNA is filed under the name uncultured bacterium. RNAcentral describes it as "partial 16S ribosomal RNA". It matches the Rfam family "Bacterial small subunit ribosomal RNA", at positions 524 to 776 of the family's 1533-position model. The record is from RNAcentral.